Molecule: long non-coding RNA, 800 nt
Filed under: Lactuca sativa (garden lettuce)
Lineage: Eukaryota; Viridiplantae; Streptophyta; Magnoliopsida; Asterales; Asteraceae
Description: long non-coding RNA (LSAT_LNC007634)
Source: RNAcentral
GGUCCAACCCCGGUCACCAAACCCUGAAUGAAGUAACCCAAGAUUGCUAACAUAGCCAAUCUUCCAUUCUUGAUUUCUUUUAGCUUCAGUUCCUUCAUUGACUUCUCAUCUUUCCCGAACCCGAGUGGGUUAAAGAACGGCCCACCUGGGUAUGCCGGGUCACCCGACCCUGAAAAACCUUUCUCCAACCCCAAGAAGUAUUGCUUCCCCAUUGACCCUGGGUUAUACCAGUCUUGGAGUCUUCUAUGCUCUGCGAAACCCAUCAACGCCAUUUCCAAUACAAAUAGGGUGAAAGGGUCUGCCCAGUAGUUGUAUGUUCCGGCUGGGGGAAUGACACCGGUCUUGAACCAAGGGAGGGCGGUUUCCGGUGGGAUGAGCCCAAGCUUGCCGAAGAUCUCUGGUGCAAUGGCGCCAGCUGCACCCAACAUGGCGAAACGUCCAUUGAUAACCUCGCCGUAUGCUAGCCACUUGGGUUCGAUGAAUCCUCCGGUUCCUUCUGGGUCCGAGAGACCAAGUGGGUCGAACCCAAAGUCGCCUGGGAGACUGUAAAAUUCAAAGUCUCAGGUGAAAAAGAACUUGUUUGAUCAAGACUUCUUUGCUUUCUAGUUAUAUUAUAUACUAUUUAUUUAUUCUAAAAAACCACUACAAUUCAUGCCAAUCUUUUAAGUUUGUAACACUUAUCUUUGACUUCAAAAGAAAAACUGUAUCUUUCUUUUGUUGGAACGAUGAAAUUACCUUCCAUCAAGGUAAGAGAGAGAUUGCUUGGAUGCAAACCACAACUGUCUGUUAGCUCCUUGCUG